GGUUCCAUAGUUCAGUUGGUUAGAGCAUCGUACUAAUAUAGUAACCCUAUAUCUGUAAUGCGAAAGUCGUGAGUUCGAGCCUCACUGGGACCA
This is a transfer RNA of 93 nucleotides. It matches the Rfam family "tRNA". From Rfam's summary of the family: Transfer RNA (tRNA) molecules are approximately 80 nucleotides in length. Their secondary structure includes four short double-helical elements and three loops (D, anti-codon, and T loops). Further hydrogen bonds mediate the characteristic L-shaped molecular structure. tRNAs have two regions of fundamental functional importance: the anti-codon, which is responsible for specific mRNA codon recognition, and the 3' end, to which the tRNAs corresponding amino acid is attached (by aminoacyl-tRNA synthetases). tRNAs cope with the degeneracy of the genetic code in two manners: having more than one tRNA (with a specific anti-codon) for a particular amino acid; and 'wobble' base-pairing, i.e. permitting non-standard base-pairing at the 3rd anti-codon position. The record is from Rfam.